RNAcentral lists this ribosomal RNA (917 nucleotides) under uncultured bacterium. RNAcentral describes it as "bacterial SSU rRNA". It matches the Rfam family "Bacterial small subunit ribosomal RNA", at positions 9 to 916 of the family's 1533-position model. The record is from RNAcentral.
GAGUUUGAUCAUGGCUCAGGAUGAACGCUAGCGGCAGGCUUAACACAUGCAAGUCGAGGGGCAUCGGGAGGGAAGCUUGCUUUCCUUGCCGGCGACCGGCGCACGGGUGAGUAACACGUAUGCAACCUGCCCUCUUCAGGGGGACAACCUUCCGAAAGGGAGGCUAAUCCCGCGUAUAUCGGUUUCGGGCAUCCGAGAUCGAGGAAAGAUUCAUCGGAAGAGGAUGGGCAUGCGGCGCAUUAGCUUGACGGCGGGGUAACGGCCCACCGUGGCGACGAUGCGUAGGGGUUCUGGGAGGAAGGUCCCCCACACUGGUACUGAGACACGGACCAGACUCCUACGGGAGGCAGCAGUGAGGAAUAUUGGUCAAUGGGAGAGAUCCUGAACCAGCCAAGCCGCGUGAGGGAAGACGGCCCUAUGGGUUGUAAACCUCUUUUGUCGGAGAACAAAACCCGGGACGUGUCCCGGACUGCGUGUAUCCGAAGAAAAAGCAUCGGCUAACUCCGUGCCAGCAGCCGCGGUAAUACGGAGGAUGCGAGCGUUAUCCGGAUUUAUUGGGUUUAAAGGGUGCGUAGGCGGUCCGUUAAGUCAGCGGUAAAAUUGCGGGGCUCAACCCCGUCGAGCCGUUGAAACUGGCAGACUUGAGUUGGCGAGAAGUACGCGGAAUGCGCGGUGUAGCGGUGAAAUGCAUAGAUAUCGCGCAGAACUCCGAUUGCGAAGGCAGCGUACCGGCGCCAGACUGACGCUGAGGCACGAAAGCGUGGGGAUCGAACAGGAUUAGAUACCCUGGUAGUCCACGCAGUAAACGAUGAAUGCUGGUUGUCCGGGUCGAAUGAGAUCUGGGCGGCGAAGCGAAAGCGAUAAGCAUUCCACCUGGGGAGUACGCCGGCAACGGUGAAACUCAAAGGAAUUGACGG